Molecule: ribosomal RNA, 158 nt
Filed under: uncultured bacterium
Lineage: Bacteria
Description: partial 16S ribosomal RNA
Rfam family: Bacterial small subunit ribosomal RNA
Source: RNAcentral
UCCUACGGGAGGCAGCAGUGGGGAAUAUUGGACAAUGGGCGAAAGCCUGAUCCAGCCAUGCCGCGUGUGUGAAGAAGGUCUUCGGAUUGUAAAGCACUUUAAGUUGGGAGGAAGGGGUUGAAGCUAAUACCUUCAAUCUUGACGUACCAACAGAAGCG